GCAAGUCGAACGGUAGCAGGUCUUCGGAUGCUGACGAGUGGCGGACGGGUGCGUAACGCGUAGGAAUCUGCCUAUUAGUGGGGGACAACUUAGGGAAACUUAAGCUAAUACCGCAUACGCCCUACGGGGGAAAGGAGGGGACCUUCGGGCCUUUCGCUAAUAGAUGAGCCUGCGUUGGAUUAGCUAGUUGGUGGGGUAAAGGCCUACCAAGGCGACGAUCCAUAGCUGGUCUGAGAGGACGAUCAGCCACACUGGGACUGAGACACGGCCCAGACUCCUACGGGAGGCAGCAGUGGGGAAUAUUGGACAAUGGGCGAAAGCCUGAUCCAGCAAUACCGCGUGUGUGAAGAAGGCCUUAGGGUUGUAAAGCACUUUCAAUUGGGAGGAAAACCUAUCGGUCAAUACCCGGUAGCUUGACAUUACCUUUAGAAGAAGCACCGGCUAACUCCGUGCCAGCAGCCGCGGUAAUACGGAGGGUGCGAGCGUUAAUCGGAAUUACUGGGCGUAAAGCGUGCGUAGGCGGUUCGUUAAGUCAGAUGUGAAAGCCCUGGGCUCAACCUGGGAACUGCAUUUGAAACUGGCGGACUAGAGUUUAGUAGAGGGGAGUGGAAUUUCAGGUGUAGCGGUGAAAUGCGUAGAUAUCUGAAGGAACACCAGUGGCGAAGGCGACUCCCUGGACUAGAACUGACGCUGAGGUACGAAAGCGUGGGUAGCAAACAGGAUUAGAUACCCUGGUAGUCCACGCCGUAAACGAUGUCGACUAGCCGUUGGCCCUAUUUACAGGG
RNAcentral lists this ribosomal RNA (785 nucleotides) under uncultured Gammaproteobacteria bacterium. RNAcentral describes it as "bacterial SSU rRNA". It matches the Rfam family "Bacterial small subunit ribosomal RNA", at positions 57 to 839 of the family's 1533-position model. The record is from RNAcentral. Lineage: Bacteria; Pseudomonadati; Pseudomonadota; Gammaproteobacteria.